AUUAAACGCUGGCGGCAUGCCUUACACAUGCAAGUCGAACGGUAGCGCGGGGCAACCUGGCGACGAGUGGCGAACGGGUGAGUAAAGCAUCGGAACGUGCCCUGGAAUGGGGGAUAACGUAGCGAAAGUUACGCUAGUACCGCAUAUUCUGUGAGCAGGAAAGCAGGGGAUCGCAAGACCUUGCGUUCUGGGAGCGGCCGAUGUCGGAUUAGCUAGUUGGUGGGGUAAAAGCCUACCAAGGCGACGAUCCGUAGCGGGUCUGAGAGGAUGAUCCGCCACACUGGGACUGAGACACGGCCCAGGCUCCUACGGGAGGCAGCAGUGGGGGAAUUUUGGACAAUGGGCGGAAGCCUGAUCCAGCCAUGCCGCGUGAGUGAAGAAGGCCUCGG
RNAcentral lists this ribosomal RNA (389 nucleotides) under uncultured bacterium. RNAcentral describes it as "bacterial SSU rRNA". It matches the Rfam family "Bacterial small subunit ribosomal RNA", at positions 29 to 420 of the family's 1533-position model. The record is from RNAcentral.